This 74-nucleotide transfer RNA is filed under the name Bacteroidota bacterium. RNAcentral's name for it is "Bacteroidetes bacterium (freshwater metagenome) tRNA-Arg". It matches the Rfam family "tRNA". Rfam says of the family: Transfer RNA (tRNA) molecules are approximately 80 nucleotides in length. Their secondary structure includes four short double-helical elements and three loops (D, anti-codon, and T loops). The record is from RNAcentral. Lineage: Bacteria; Pseudomonadati; Bacteroidota.
GGUCGCGUAGCUCAGCUGGAUAGAGCAGCAGCCUUCUAAGCUGCGGGUCAUUGGUUCGAAUCCAAUCGCGAUCA